This 135-nucleotide small nuclear RNA is filed under the name Ovis aries (sheep). Its description in RNAcentral is "U2 spliceosomal RNA (ENSOARG00000021552.1)". The stretch from base 1 to 99 matches the Rfam family "U2 spliceosomal RNA". Rfam says of the family: U2 is a small nuclear RNA (snRNA) component of the spliceosome (involved in pre-mRNA splicing). Complementary binding between U2 snRNA (in an area lying towards the 5' end but 3' to hairpin I) and the branchpoint sequence (BPS) of the intron results the bulging out of an unpaired adenosine, on the BPS, which initiates a nucleophilic attack at the intronic 5' splice site, thus starting the first of two transesterification reactions that mediate splicing. Lineage: Eukaryota; Metazoa; Chordata; Mammalia; Artiodactyla; Bovidae. The record is from RNAcentral.
AUCGCGUCUCAGGCUUUUGGCUAAGAUCAAGUGUGGUAUCUGUCCUUAUCAGUUUAAUGUCUGGGGCUUCCCUCAUAGCUCAGUUGUAAAGAAUCCGCCUGCAGUGCAGGAGACCCCGGUUCGAUUCCUGAGUCA